This 456-nucleotide ribosomal RNA is filed under the name uncultured Rhodococcus sp. RNAcentral's name for it is "bacterial SSU rRNA". It matches the Rfam family "Bacterial small subunit ribosomal RNA", at positions 923 to 1382 of the family's 1533-position model. Lineage: Bacteria; Bacillati; Actinomycetota; Actinomycetes; Mycobacteriales; Nocardiaceae. The record is from RNAcentral.
GCACAAGCGGCGGAGCAUGUGGAUAAUUCGAUGCAACGACGAAGAACCUUACCUGGGUUGACAUACACCGGAAAACCGUAGAGAUACGGUCCCCCUUGUGGUCGGUGUACAGGUGGUGCAUGGCUGUCGUCAGCUCGUGUCGUGAGAUGUGGGUUAAGUCCCGCAACGAGCGCAACCCUUGUCUUAUGUUGCCAGCACGUGAUGGUGGGGACUCGUAAGAGACUGCCGGGGUCAACUCGGAGGAAGUGGGGACGACGUCAAGUCAUCAUGCCCCUUAUGUCCAGGGCUUCACACAUGCUACAAUGGCCAGUACAGAGGGCUGCGAGACCGUGAGGUGGAGCGAAUCCCUUAAAGCUGGUCUCAGUUCGGAUCGGGGUCUGCAACUCGACCCCGUGAAGUCGGAGUCGCUAGUAAUCGCAGAUCAGCAACGCUGCGGUGAAUACGUUCCCGGGCCUU